RNAcentral lists this ribosomal RNA (497 nucleotides) under uncultured bacterium. RNAcentral describes it as "partial 16S ribosomal RNA". It matches the Rfam family "Bacterial small subunit ribosomal RNA", at positions 28 to 507 of the family's 1533-position model. The record is from RNAcentral.
GAUGAACGCUGGCGGCGUGCCUAAUACAUGCAAGUCGAGCGAACGGACGAGAAGCUUGCUUCUCUGAUGUUAGCGGCGGACGGGUGAGUAACACGUGGAUAACCUACCUAUAAGACUGGGAUAACUUCGGGAAACCGGAGCUAAUACCGGAUAAUAUUUUGAACCGCAUGGUUCAAAAGUGAAAGACGGUCUUGCUGUCACUUAUAGAUGGAUCCGCGCUGCAUUAGCUAGUUGGUAAGGUAACGGCUUACCAAGGCAACGAUGCAUAGCCGACCUGAGAGGGUGAUCGGCCACACUGGAACUGAGACACGGUCCAGACUCCUACGGGAGGCAGCAGAAGGGAAUCUUCCGCAAUGGGCGAAAGUCUGACGGAGCAACGCCGCGUGAGUGAUGAAGGUCUUCGGAUCGUAAAACUCUGUUAUUAGGGAAGAACAUAUGUGUAAGUAACUGUGCACAUCUUGACGGUACCUAAUCAGAAAGCCACGGCUAACUACGUG